RNAcentral lists this transfer RNA (67 nucleotides) under Epeorus sp. XL-2019. Its description in RNAcentral is "tRNA-Ile". The record is from RNAcentral. Lineage: Eukaryota; Metazoa; Arthropoda; Insecta; Ephemeroptera; Heptageniidae.
AAUGAGGUGCCUGAGUAAAGGGCCACUUUGAUAGAGUGGAUCAAGUAGGAUGAGCCCACCCUCAUUG